UGGGGAAUUUUGGACAAUGGGCGCAAGCCUGAUCCAGCAAUGCCGCGUGCAGGAUGAAGGCCUUCGGGUUGUAAACUGCUUUUGUACGGAACGAAAAAGCCCUCUCUGAUACAGUGGGUGAAUGACGGUACCGUAAGAAUAAGCACCGGCUAACUACGUGCCAGCAGCCGCGGUAAUACGUAGGGUGCAAGCGUUAAUCGGAAUUACUGGGCGUAAAGCGUGCGCAGGCGGUUUUGUAAGACAGAGGUGAAAUCCCCGGGCUCAACCUGGGAACUGCCUUUGUGACUGCAAAGCUGGAGUGCGGCAGAGGGGGAUGGAAUUCCGCGUGUAGCAGUGAAAUGCGUAGAUAUGCGGAGGAACACCGAUGGCGAAGGCAAUCCCCUGGGCCUGCACUGACGCUCAUGCACGAAAGCGUGGGGAGCAAACA
This 427-nucleotide ribosomal RNA is filed under the name uncultured bacterium. RNAcentral describes it as "bacterial SSU rRNA". It matches the Rfam family "Bacterial small subunit ribosomal RNA", at positions 355 to 774 of the family's 1533-position model. The record is from RNAcentral.